Lingula anatina is the source of this 1224-nucleotide long non-coding RNA. RefSeq lists it as uncharacterized. Lineage: Eukaryota; Metazoa; Brachiopoda; Lingulata; Lingulida; Lingulidae. The record is from RefSeq and is a predicted model, not a curated record.
CAAGUAGUCCGCACUGAUUCCUAACACCAAACGGCAAGAUGGAGUCAAAACGAUCGCUGUCGAGUUUAUUCUACACUGGUUUCCUGAAAAAAGGUUCCGUUUGGGCGGCAGCAAUUAUGGUUAUGGCUGUUGGUGCAGACGCUUUUUUUAACUCUGCUGUAAAUUCUUUUUACGAAAAGCGGAAUAAAGGAUUGCUGUGGAAAGAUGUCAAACUCCAAGUUUGCAAGCCUGAAGAUUUAUGAUGGAUGUCUAUAGUGCACUGAAGACUUGAAAUUGAUUGAAAAGCACUUUUUAUGCUGUAUAUUAUGAUAAACCAAAUAUUUUCAUCGAGUAAAAAACUGCAGGACAUUGCCAACAGUUGGAUUAAAUACUACCACAUACCUACAGAUGUAUACAACAGAUAUGGAUUUGACACAAAGAAAAACAAAAUUUCAAAACUUGCCAAGACACUGAAGAAAUUUGCCUGAUGAUGUUACAAUAUCAGUUUUUGUAAAAUUAAAAGUGUAACAUUGACUGAACUGGAAAUUUCAUAUUAACUUUGUGCACAGUGUCUCAAGAACUGCAGUGCCACUUGAAAUCAGUUGUAAAUCACUAGCACAGGAACAUACCUUUGUUUUGUUUGUCAGUUUGUUCAAUAAAGGACUCGCGGCUAGCUUAAAAAUUUAUAAAUGUGUCAUGUAAAAUUUUUAAUUUAAAAUAUAUAUUAUAUAGUUCUAUGUACUGUUGCUGUUAUGCUGAUUUAGCUCCAGUUCAUAAAUACCAUUCCUAACAAUACUUGAAUUUGACCAAAAACAAUUUAUCAACACACCUGGCAAAAUGUUUUCUACAAAUGAAAAAAAAAAAAGAAUAUAAAAUUGCAGAAUCUUUAUUACAGAGUACAUUCUUCUUUCCUUCAAGUAUAACAAACAUUUUUUGAGAAAUCACAAUUUCUAAAUUGAAAGUAACAUCUAUAGUAUAUACCUUCUCUUUUUAAUUUCAUCUUAUACCUCUCACUGUUGUCUUUUUUAAAAUGAAAUAAUAUAAAUCAUCUUUCAAAAUGUUAUGAAAUAGAUAUUGCAAUAACUGUCACUGCAGUUGUAUGGAAUUGUGACACGAUUGUGUUGAAUAUGGGGCUUAACAUUUAAACGUAGUCAAAGAACAGGAUGUGUAGUCCUGUAUCCUCUUGAAGCUUUAACAAUAUUACCCUACAGACUUUCACUAUUGGGUCAAAGUCUGAAUCACUAU